GAGUUUGAUCGUGGCUCAGAUUGAACGCUGGCGGCAGGCCUAACACAUGCAAGUCGAGCGGAUGACGGGAGCUUGCUCCUUGAUUCAGCGGCGGACGGGUGAGUAAUGCCUAGGAAUCUGCCUGGUAGUGGGGGACAACGUUUCGAAAGGAACGCUAAUACCGCAUACGUCCUACGGGAGAAAGCAGGGGACCUUCGGGCCUUGCGCUAUCAGAUGAGCCUAGGUCGGAUUAGCUAGUAGGUGGGGUAAUGGCUCACCAAGGCGACGAUCCGUAACUGGUCUGAGAGGAUGAUCAGUCACACUGGAACUGAGACACGGUCCAGACUCCUACGGGAGGCAGCAGUGGGGAAUAUUGGACAAUGGGCGAAAGCCUGAUCCAGCCAUGCUGCGUGUGUGAAGAAGGUCUUCGGAUUGUAAAGCACUUUAAGUUGGGUAGGAAGGGCAGUAAGUUAAUACCUUGCUGUUUUGACGUUACCGACAGAAUAAGCACCGGCUAACUCUGUGCCAGCCG
This 511-nucleotide ribosomal RNA is filed under the name bacterium enrichment culture clone ALO1_GLFRUDD03GFKEJ. RNAcentral describes it as "bacterial SSU rRNA". It matches the Rfam family "Bacterial small subunit ribosomal RNA", at positions 9 to 514 of the family's 1533-position model. The record is from RNAcentral.